AUUCGUUUAAAAAAAAGUAAAUUAACCCUAAAUUCGAUCUUUUCUGCUCCCAAUCUAUUUCUCUUUUUCCCUCCCCUGCGCGUCUGUUCAAUAGAUUGCUUAUCAUAUGUUUCCAGAAAACUAUCCCCUCUCUAAACCCUCAGCAUCCACUUCUUCAACUAUCAAUAAUGUCCGCCGUCAGGUUCACUUUCAGAUUUAACGCCGCCGUUUGUGGCGCAUCGUCGAGACUCUAUAGAGGUGUCAAGGCGAAGCCGUCCGGUACCUCCUUCGGCAUCCCGACAAAGAAACCUAUAUCUCCUUGAGUUUUGAGACCUCCUAAGUUGUGGACCGCGUGCUGUUGGUGGAGCUAAGUUGAUCGUUUAAAGUUAUUGAAAAUGGAGUUUCCAAAGAUUUGCACUUCGCCUCUCCACAAGAUGAUGCAAAAGCAACCAAGAAUGGGCAGAUGGAAAUCAGUGACAAUAUUAAUGGAGAUGUGAGUUCUGUUGAAGAUUCUGACAAAGAUGUUUCGAAUGAUGUGAAAUUGGAUGAAGGGGGAAAGGAAUAUAUGUUUGUCGAUUGCCCAGAUGAGUUGGUUAUUCCCGAUCAUAAAGAACCUUUUGAUGCAUUUGAAAACCAAGACGAGUUAGAGGAAAAUGAUUACGAUAAAGAGGUACAUCCUGAGGAAUCAAAUAGUGGGGGACCAGUUACAGAUGAUCUAGUAUCUCCAUCGUAUCCAUGCUUCCUUUUCACACAGCCACUGCUUCUUCGUUGCUCACUUCAAUGCUCUUUGAUUCUCCUCGAUGGACACCGGAAGAUUCAUAACACGUUUUGUGAUUGCAAACAAAAGCACGGUUCCCAAUCGCGAGACAACAUCGCCAAUCCUCAAAGUUCAAGGCUAGAUUCGAGGCUCAAAAUCAGUUUUAAUUUUUUUUUUUGAAAUCCUGGUUUCGAUAUUGUUUAUUAUUGUUAUUCAUGUUCUAAGAUUUUGUAUUUGGGCAUUACAGGAAGAAAAGUCUGCAUUUGAGGAGAUAGAAAAAUAGGGAGAAGAUGAGGUUUGAUUAAUAACUAGUUUUUGCAGUUAUGUCAGUAAUCUUUUAUAGUUAUCCUCUUUGUAUUGUGGGAUGCCUUAAAAGAGAAGUUAAAAUUAGAAGGGGUGAACUUAGGAUGAAGAAACCAUGCUUAUUGUUUUAAAUGUCUUUUAAGAGUCAUAUUUCUCUGCCUUCUCUUCCACAUGAUUCAAAAGAGGAUUCAGUUGAUUCAGAUGUAAGAACUCAGCAUAAAUGUCAUAAUUUUAUUAUUUCAGAAUCUAUUUGUGUGUGCUAUUCCACUACUGAAUGAGUGAUAAAUAUAUUUCAGGAUGAGUCUGAAAACAAUCGUAAUGAUAAUAUUUCAGGAUGAUUCUGAUGUGGAAUUCAUUUUGCAUGCUCUCAACUAGCAUAAAUUAGUUGCAGUUCUGGAUGGAGGAAAAAGAAUGUUAGGUGAUAUAUCUCCUAAUACCUUAGCUUGCUGUGAAGAAAUUGUUGCAGCUAUAAUUUUUACCCUCUUGGCUGGAUAUUUGAUGGCUUACAUUGAUUAUGGCGGUCCUCUUAGAGGAUUUGAUUCAGUUAGUGAAGACACGAUAAUGUUGGAGAAGAAGUUCUAGGCCAUGUCUGAGUUGAUGGAGCAAAUUUUCAUUAAUUCAUUAUCAUCUUCAUCGAGUGAAUCCUUUUUAAUUUAUUGUACAUACUAUUGGCAAGAAUUUAAGUAUGGAAUUAAUAGAUUUUUUCAAUUAUGUUGAAGGAUGAUGUAUGUUAAAAUGUAUGUAUA
Impatiens glandulifera is the source of this 1785-nucleotide long non-coding RNA. RefSeq lists it as uncharacterized. NCBI's taxonomy places the organism in Eukaryota, Viridiplantae, Streptophyta, Magnoliopsida, Ericales, Balsaminaceae. The transcript is spliced from 5 exons. The record is from RefSeq and is a predicted model, not a curated record.